RNAcentral lists this ribosomal RNA (460 nucleotides) under uncultured bacterium. RNAcentral's name for it is "partial 16S ribosomal RNA". It matches the Rfam family "Bacterial small subunit ribosomal RNA", at positions 338 to 795 of the family's 1533-position model. The record is from RNAcentral.
CCUACGGGUGGCAGCAGUGAGGAAUAUUGGGCAAUGGACGCGAGUCUGAACCAGCAAAGUAGCGUGAAGGAUGACUGCCCUACGAGUGGUAAGCUUCUUUUAUGAAGGAAUAAAGUGUGGCAGGUGUGCAUUUUUAUGUGUACUUUAUGAAUGAGGAUCGGCUAACUCCGUGCCAGCAGCCGCGUUAAUACGGAGGAUCCGAGCGUUAUCCGGAGUGAGUGGGUGUAUAGGGAGCGUAGAUGGGUUGUUCAGUUAGUUGUGAAAGUUUGGGGCUCAACCGUAAAAUUGCCACCGAGACGGGUAGACUGGAGUACAGGUGGGGUAGGCGGAAUUCGUGGUGUAGCGGUGAAAUGCUUAGAUAUUACGAAGAACUCCGAGUGCGAAGGCAGCUUACUAAACUGCAACUGACAUUGAUGCUCGAAAGUGUGGGUAUCAAACAGGAUUAGAUACCCGGGUAGUC